UAGGGGACACUGAGGCAACACUGUAGGGGACACUGAGGCAACACUGGGGGGGACACUGUAGGGGACACUGAGGCAACACUGGGGGGGACACUGAGGGAACACUGGGGGGACACUGUAGCGACGUUGAGCAGUAGAAACCAGAGUAACAGUCCCCCAAUCCUAAAUGGAUCUCUUACAGACUCGUUGACUUAAGCCCUUACAGACCAAGGACCAAUUCCAUUUCUUUCCCUUAGCCCUUGUCUUGGUCCUUCUCCAUCAGGUUAAGAGUUAACCUGAUGGACAAUUGGGACACCACCUCCCCUCACGUGAACACGCAAAACCAAGGGGAAGGUUUGGUUCUGAUGUGUCAGGUUCUAGUGUGUCUUGUUAUAUUGUGUCAGGUUCGGUUCUAGUGUUUCCUGUUAUAUUGUGUCAUGUUCGGCUCUAGUGUGUCCGGUUCUAGCAUGUCCAGUUUGGUUCUAAUGUGUCAGGUUCUAGUGUGUCUGGUUAUAUUGUGUCAUGUUCAGCUCUAGUGUGUCCGGUUCUAGCAUGUCCAGAUCAGUUCUUUUGUGUCAGGUUCUAGUGUGUCUGGUUCAGUUCUAAUGUGUCAGGUUCUAAUGUGUCAGGUUUGGUUCUAAUGUGUCAGGUUCUAAUGUGUCUGGUUCGGUUCUAAUGUGUCAGGUUCUAAUGUGUCUGGUUCAGUUCUAAUGUGUCUGGUUCGGUUCUAAUGUGUCAGGUUCUAAUGUGUCUGGUUCAGUUCUAAUGUGUCUGGUUCGGUUCUAAUGUGUCAGGUUCUAGUGUGCCCGGUUCAGUUCUAAUGUGUCAGGUUCUAGUGUGUCUGGUUCAGUUCUAAUGUGUCUGGUUCGGUUCUAAUGUGUCAGGUUCUAGUGUGCCCGGUUCAGUUCUAAUGUGUCAGGUUCUAGUGUGUCUGGUUCAGUUCUAAUGUGUCUGGUUCGGUUCUAAUGUGUCAGGUUCUAGUGUGCCGGGUUCAGUUUUAAUGUGUAAGGUUCUAAUGUGUCAGGUUUUAGUGUGCCCAGUUCAGUUCUAAUGUGUCAGGUUCUAGUGUGCCCGGUUCAGUUCUAAUGUGUCAGGUUCUAGUGUGCCCGGUUCAG
Molecule: long non-coding RNA, 1091 nt
Organism: Epinephelus fuscoguttatus (brown-marbled grouper)
Lineage: Eukaryota; Metazoa; Chordata; Actinopteri; Perciformes; Serranidae
Exons: 3
Source: RefSeq, a predicted model, not a curated record